CCUACGGGGGGCUGCAGUGGGGAAUAUUGGACAAUGGGGGCAACCCUGAUCCAGCCAUGCCGCGUGUGUGAAGAAGGCCCUCGGGUUGUAAAGCACUUUCAGUGAGGAAGAACGCCUGGUGGUUAAUACCCAUCAGGAAAGACAUCACUCACAGAAGAAGCACCGGCUAACUCCGUGCCAGCAGCCGCGGUAAUACGGAGGGUGCGAGCGUUAAUCGGAAUUACUGGGCGUAAAGCGCGCGUAGGUGGCUUGAUAAGCCGGUUGUGAAAGCCCCGGGCUCAACCUGGGAACGGCAUCCGGAACUGUCAAGCUAGAGUGCAGGAGAGGAAGGUAGAAUUCCAGGUGUAGCGGUGAAAUGCGUAGAGAUCGGGAGGAAUACCAGUGGCGAAGGCGGCCUUCUGGACUGACACUGACACUGAGGUGCGAAAGCGUGGGUAGCAAACAGGAUUAGAUACCCGAGUAGUC
Molecule: ribosomal RNA, 465 nt
Filed under: Vreelandella stevensii
Lineage: Bacteria; Pseudomonadati; Pseudomonadota; Gammaproteobacteria; Oceanospirillales; Halomonadaceae
Description: partial 16S ribosomal RNA
Rfam family: Bacterial small subunit ribosomal RNA
Source: RNAcentral